CUUUUCCAUCCCACUUCUGCACCUGAUUCAGAACGCCACUGUCGCAGGUUAUCAAGGUCUGCGGAAAAGCACAAUAUGAACUGUAUUAGCACCCUGUAAUGGAAAUCUAAACACAACAGGAGCCCUGUGGAGAGGAUAAGGAGCUUGUGCCCACCCUGUAUCGAAACAAUGGCUACUUAGGCAAGGUUGAAACUGCAGACUGAUCCAGUAAGACUAUACCUCCAAUAAUGUAUUAUUAUUAUUCAGUUUUUUCUAUGUUAUUGCUAGACUAAAACAGUGAACAAACCUUUGUAUUUCUGUUAUCUGCUGUGGUCUCAUCAAACUCCUCUCCCAGUUUAAACGUCAUAUCUGUUG
Long non-coding RNA from Xenopus tropicalis (tropical clawed frog), 354 nucleotides. RefSeq lists it as uncharacterized. The record is from RefSeq and is a predicted model, not a curated record. Lineage: Eukaryota; Metazoa; Chordata; Amphibia; Anura; Pipidae. The transcript has 2 exons.